Mycena galopus ATCC 62051 is the source of this 82-nucleotide non-coding RNA. Lineage: Eukaryota; Fungi; Basidiomycota; Agaricomycetes; Agaricales; Mycenaceae. The record is from the annotation of a GenBank genome assembly.
GGGUGCAUGGCGUAAUCGGAAGCGCGCGGGGCCCAUAUUCUGUACAACCCCGAGGUCACUCGAUCGAAACGAGUUGCUGCUA